Molecule: ribosomal RNA, 1460 nt
Filed under: uncultured bacterium
Lineage: Bacteria
Description: bacterial SSU rRNA
Rfam family: Bacterial small subunit ribosomal RNA
Source: RNAcentral
AGAGUUUGAUCAUGGCUCAGAAUGAACGUUGGCGGCGUGGAUUAGGCAUGCGAGUCGCGCGAGAAUGUAGCAAUACAGGAAAGCGGCGAAAGGGAGAGGACAACAUGGGAAUCUGCCCGGGGGUCGGGGAUAGCUACGGGAAACUGUAGGUAAUACCCGAUAAUGUUUACGGACCAAAGGUUUACUGCCCCUGGAUGAGCCCAUGCCCCAUUAGCUUGUUGGCGGUGUAAUAGACCACCAAGGCGAUGAUGGGUAGCUGGUGUGAGAGCACGACCAGCCUCACUGGCACUGAGACACUGGCCAGACACCUACGGGUGGCUGCAGUCGAGAAUCUUCGGCAAUGGACGAAAGUCUGACCGAGCGACGCCGCGUGCGGGAUGAAGGCCUUCGGGUUGUAAACCGCUGUCGAGGGGGAUUAAGGGCAACUUGAAUGAACCCUGGAGGAAGGAGAGGCUAAGCUCGUGCCAGCAGCCGCGGUAAGACGAGCUCUCCAAACGUUAUUCGGUAUCACUGGGCUUAAAGAGUUCGUAGGCGGCUUUGUAGGUGGGGUGUGAAAGCCCUCGGCUCAACCGAGGAAUUGCGCCCCAAACCGCAGGGCUUGAGGGAUAUAGGGGUAAGCGGAACAGAUGGUGGAGCGGUGAAAUGCAUUGAUAUCAUCUGGAACACCGGUGGUGAAAGCGGCUUACUGGAUAUUUUCUGACGCUGAGGAACGAAAGCUAGGGUAGCGAACGGGAUUAGAUACCCCGGUAGUCCUAGCCGUAAACGAUGAGCACUAGUCUGAAGGACUCUCACAGUCUUUCGGACGUAGCGAAAGUGUUAAGUGCUCCGCCUGGGGAGUAUGGUCGCAAGGCUGAAACUCAAAGGAAUUGACGGGGGCUCACACAAGCGGUGGAGGAUGUGGCUUAAUUCGAGGCUACGCGAAGAACCUUAUCCGAGUCUUGACAUGCUUAAGAACCUGACUGAAAGGUUGGGGUGCCCGCAAGGGAGCUUUUGCACAGGUGCUGCAUGGCUGUCGUCAGCUCGUGUCGUGAGAUGUUGGGUUAAGUCCCGCAACGAGCGCAACCCUCGUCCUUAGUUGCCAUCAUUCAGUUGGGCACUCUGAGGAAACUGCCGGUGAUAAGCCGGAGGAAGGUGGGGAUGACGUCAAGUCCUCAUGGCCCUUACACGCUGGGCUACACACGUGCUACAAUGGCGGUGACAGUGGGCAGCAACCGGGCGACCGGUAGCUAAUCUCCAAAAACCGUCUCAGUUCGGAUUGUUCUCUGCAACUCGAGAGCAUGAAGGCGGAAUCGCUAGUAAUCGCGGAUCAGCAUGCCGCGGUGAAUACGUUCCCAGGCCUUGUACACACCGCCCGUCACACCAUGGGAUUUGGAUUCACCCGAAGGCAGUGCGCUAACCGCAAGGAGGCAGCUGACCACGGUGGGUUUAGAGACUGGGGUGAAGUCGUAACAAGGUAGCCA